RNAcentral lists this ribosomal RNA (253 nucleotides) under uncultured bacterium. RNAcentral describes it as "partial 16S ribosomal RNA". It matches the Rfam family "Bacterial small subunit ribosomal RNA", at positions 524 to 776 of the family's 1533-position model. The record is from RNAcentral.
UACGUAGGGUGCGAGCGUUAAUCGGAAUUACUGGGCGUAAAGCGUGCGUAGGCGGUUCGCUGGGUCCGAUGUGAAAGCCCCGGGCUUAACCUGGGAAUGGCAUUGGAAACUGGCGGGCUUGAGUGUGGCAGAGGGGGGUGGAAUUCCGCGUGUAGCAGUGAAAUGCGUAGAUAUCUGGAGGAAUACCGGUGGCGAAGGCGGCAUCCUGGACCGAGAUUGACGCUGAUGAGCGAAAGCUAGGGGAGCAAACGGG